Molecule: ribosomal RNA, 1170 nt
Filed under: Pseudomonas jessenii
Lineage: Bacteria; Pseudomonadati; Pseudomonadota; Gammaproteobacteria; Pseudomonadales; Pseudomonadaceae
Also listed under: 5 other names
Description: partial 23S ribosomal RNA
Rfam family: Bacterial large subunit ribosomal RNA
Source: RNAcentral
CGUAAGCCCACGCCGGUCGAAGAUACCAGGCCGCUGCGACUGUUUAUUAAAAACACAGCACUCUGCAAACACGAAAGUGGACGUAUAGGGUGUGACGCCUGCCCGGUGCCGGAAGGUUAAUUGAUGGGGUUAGCUAACGCGAAGCUCUUGAUCGAAGCCCCGGUAAACGGCGGCCGUAACUAUAACGGUCCUAAGGUAGCGAAAUUCCUUGUCGGGUAAGUUCCGACCUGCACGAAUGGCGUAACGAUGGCGGCGCUGUCUCCACCCGAGACUCAGUGAAAUUGAAAUCGCUGUGAAGAUGCAGUGUAUCCGCGGCUAGACGGAAAGACCCCGUGAACCUUUACUAUAGCUUUGCACUGGACUUUGAAUUUGCUUGUGUAGGAUAGGUGGGAGGCUUUGAAGCGUGGACGCCAGUUCGCGUGGAGCCAUCCUUGAAAUACCACCCUGGCAACUUUGAGGUUCUAACUCAGGUCCGUUAUCCGGAUCGAGGACAGUGUAUGGUGGGUAGUUUGACUGGGGCGGUCUCCUCCUAAAGAGUAACGGAGGAGUACGAAGGUGCGCUCAGACCGGUCGGAAAUCGGUCGUAGAGUAUAAAGGCAAAAGCGCGCUUGACUGCGAGACAGACACGUCGAGCAGGUACGAAAGUAGGUCUUAGUGAUCCGGUGGUUCUGUAUGGAAGGGCCAUCGCUCAACGGAUAAAAGGUACUCCGGGGAUAACAGGCUGAUACCGCCCAAGAGUUCAUAUCGACGGCGGUGUUUGGCACCUCGAUGUCGGCUCAUCACAUCCUGGGGCUGAAGCCGGUCCCAAGGGUAUGGCUGUUCGCCAUUUAAAGUGGUACGCGAGCUGGGUUUAGAACGUCGUGAGACAGUUCGGUCCCUAUCUGCCGUGGACGUUUGAGAUUUGAGAGGGGCUGCUCCUAGUACGAGAGGACCGGAGUGGACGAACCUCUGGUGUUCCGGUUGUCACGCCAGUGGCAUUGCCGGGUAGCUAUGUUCGGAAAAGAUAACCGCUGAAAGCAUCUAAGCGGGAAACUUGCCUCAAGAUGAGAUCUCACUGGGACCUUGAGUCCCCUGAAGGGCCGUCGAAGACUACGACGUUGAUAGGUUGGGUGUGUAAGCGCUGUGAGGCGUUGAGCUAACCAAUACUAAUUGCCCGUGAGGCUUGACCAU